RNAcentral lists this long non-coding RNA (1093 nucleotides) under Vulpes vulpes (red fox). RNAcentral describes it as "lncRNA (ENSVVUG00000000103.1)". The record is from RNAcentral. Lineage: Eukaryota; Metazoa; Chordata; Mammalia; Carnivora; Canidae.
UUUAAAAAAAAAAAAAAAAGNCUGGUCCCGCCUCCCCUGGCCUGGCCUGGAGCCUGCUUUCCAGGUGGAGUCAUGGCUCUGAGCCUCUGCCUCCCCUUCCACAGAACAGGGUGUGCCAGUACCUGUCUCCGGGGUUGUGGGAACGAAACGUCAGGAGGGAGGUGAAGCACCUAGUGCACAGAGGAUUCGCCGCCCUCUGUUCCACAGCGGCACUUAGAUCCUGAUGGGAAAGUGGGCACCGGAAGGCAAGGUGGGAGAGAGCUGAUAGCCAGAACCAGGACCCCAGUUCACACCCCAGAGGAUUUUCCAUUCAGUCUGGCUUGGACCCCAAGCAUGGAAUUUGGACUUUUAGAAUCCCCUAUGGUAACAACAAAAAUAAAAACCAAACAGUGACAGACUGCUACUGUGAAUUCAGCAGUGCUUUUACGUAAAUUUGUCGAUUUAAAACUGAUGGCCUGUCUUUACACAUAGGCAGAGUAGUGCUUAUUCAGUGGGUGGACAACGCUUGGUGGAUCUGGAGACUCACAGACUUGUGACAACUCCACGGCCUUCUUGAGACGUCUUCUCCCAGUUGGAAACCACUGGCCUCAAGUUGAUGGUUCAAGCUGCCAGCUCUGUUCUCCACAGAUUUCCGUGAUUUCACUCAGAUAAGCUCUCACUGAAGUUUUCAAGUUGGAGUGCCUUGGGUCGUAAUAUCUUAAUGGACAAUGCUACAUUCAUAAUGCCACAAACAGGAGGUGUGUUAACUGAGUGUUUGCAUGAGUAGGCUUACAGCAGGAUGCUCUGUGUGUGAGGCAGGGGAAUCUGAACAUGCGUCAAGACCACUAGGCAUCAGUCUUUUAACUUGGGAGGUUUGAGCAAUCAAGCAGCCCUCCAUUCCUCUCCCUCUCUCUUUUUCUAAAGUGUAAGCUCUUCAAUAGAAAGUGAGCCUCUCAAGGGCAGAGAUCUUCAUCUGUUUUUUUUUUUUUUUUAAGAUUUUAUUUAUUUAUUUGAGAGAGAGAGAGAGUAAGAGAGAGAAAGCACGAGUGGGGUGAGGGGCAAAGAAAGAUGCGGACUCCCUGCUAAGCAGGGAACCCAGUGCGGCUAGGUCCUG